Molecule: ribosomal RNA, 404 nt
Filed under: uncultured bacterium
Lineage: Bacteria
Description: bacterial SSU rRNA
Rfam family: Bacterial small subunit ribosomal RNA
Source: RNAcentral
UAGGGAAUAUUGCUUAAUGGGCGAAAGCCUGAAGCAGCAACGCCGCGUGAACGAAGAAGGCCUUCGGGUCGUAAAGUUCUUUUACGUGGGAUGAGGAAGGACAGUACCACGAGAAUAAGUCUCGGCUGACUACGUGCCAGCAGCCGCGGUAAAACGUAGGAGACGAGCGUUAUCCGGAUUUACUGGGCGUAAAGCGCGUGUAGGAGGCGCUACAAGUUGGAUGUGAAAGCUCCCGGCUUAACUGGGAGAGGUCGUUCAAGACUGUAGAGCUAGAGUGAGGCAGAGGUAGAUGGAACUCCGGGAGUAGUGGUGAAAUGCGUAGAUAUCCGGAAGAACACCAGAGGCGAAAGCGAUCUACUGGACCUAAACUGACACUGAGACGCGAAAGCCAGGGUAGCAAACGG